RNAcentral lists this ribosomal RNA (464 nucleotides) under uncultured bacterium. RNAcentral's name for it is "bacterial SSU rRNA". It matches the Rfam family "Bacterial small subunit ribosomal RNA", at positions 339 to 796 of the family's 1533-position model. The record is from RNAcentral.
AUACGGGAGGCAGCAGUGGGGAAUUUUGCGCAAUGGGCGAAAGCCUGACGCAGCAACGCCGCGUGAGCGAAGAAGGCCUUCGGGUUGUAAAGCUCUGUCAGGGGGAAAGAAGGCACCUGGGUUAAUAGCCCAAGGGCUGACGGUACCCCCAAAGGAAGCCACGGCUAACUACGUGCCAGCAGCCGCGGUAAUACGUAGGUGGCGAGCGUUGUCCGGAAUCAUUGGGCGUAAAGAGCGCGUAGGUGGCUUGUCAGGUCUGAUGUGAAAUCCUGGGGCUCAACUCCAGAACUGCAUCGGAAACCGGCUUGCUAGAGUCUGGGAGAGGAGAGUGGAAUUCCUGGUGUAGCGGUGAAAUGCGUAGAUAUCAGGAGGAACACCGGUAGCGAAGGCGGCUCUCUGGAACAGUACUGACGCUGAGGCGCGAAAGCUAGGGGAGCGAACAGGAUUAGAUACCCGGGUAGUCU